UUUAUCAACCGUUAGUACUUGUUUACUUGUCUUUUGGGACUAUUCUACUUUCUUAAUGUGGAUUAUUUGCUUUUGAAUUCUCUAGCACUUUUUCACUAUUAUUAGUUAUAAAAGUGGGAUAGUUCACAUGAGGAUAGCAUCUUCCAAGAGUGUCCAUUGAUUAUUAAAAUUGAUAUUUGUCAGUUCUUGAGAAUUACCAAAUAAAGAGGGAAUAAAAAAAGAAACAGAAAACUAUUUCCACAAGAACCUAAUAUGGUUUAAUGCCAAUGUUGCCCCUACAAAAUUCAUGAUGUGUUGCAUGUCAACUGGCUUCUGCCUUGUGUCUCUAAUUCUAUGAAGAGACUAAAAAUUCUUGUUUUAGGGAAGGAAACAUAAACAAAAACAUAUUGAAAGUUGAGUAGGAGGUUUAGCUAGGGCUGGAGAAUAAUGAUUGGUUUGGGUUUGUGAGGACUAUCUUUCCUCUUUUUGGGUAAGUCGUGAUGACUAGUUACAACUCCUUAUAAGGUGAUGGUGAUAUAGUAAGAAACUAGAGGUGGUCGGUAUGGGCAGUCAAUCCAGGCAAAUCUUUCUUUCGCUCUUAGUUCUCAUAUAUCUCUAAGUAAUUGUUUAGCAAUCCGUCUAUUAUAGAUGCUCAAGUAUUACUAUAAGUUAUCAUUGGGUUGCUGUGGUAUUACUUAGGAUAUCUGGGUUUUCAUUUUGUUAAGAAGAAUUUGUUGAAGACAAUGUUCCUGUAAGACUGAAAUAUGGUUACAAAUACUUCUUCAUCGAAGGACUGCAUUUUUAUUAUUGGCACACUUCAACAUGGUGUGCUUUACUAUCCAAUUUCAUCUGUUCUACAUAGGCCCUUGUCAUAAUUCGAGAGUUCAAUAUUAAUUACUCCUUGUAAAGAAGGUCACUGCACUAACUGAUGUGAACGUCUUUGAAAGAACAAAAAUGACCUGAAGUGUCAGUGCAUUAAUUAACCUUCCUCAAAAGUGAGCUGGACAGAGAAGACACUUUCUGGGAUGUAGAAAAUCUCUCUUUAAAAUUUGUAUUUGUUUGACACAACUUGAUUUAAAACUUUAUUUCUUGACAAAAGCAAUUUUGCAGUACCGUGACAUGGAUGAUGAACAAAAUCAUCAUCUAUGAGCAUUCCACCUGAAGAUCACUAUAGGCAAAGACUUACAGAAGUGAAGUGUAUUGGCUUGCGGUGGGCAGAACGUGCCAGGAAGGUUGCAAUUGAUUCUGGAGAUCGCAGCUUAGAUAAAGUUUUUGAACUUAUCAUGGAAGUUACUAUGAGAACGAAGUAUGCUUUAUUGUAUUUGUCGAAAGCCAUAUGAUCAGAGAGCAAUGAUUGCUUGUGAUCAAUGUGAUGAGUAGUACCAUUUUGAUUGCAUUAACUUAGUUUCCCCACCAAAGGUCUACAUCUGUCCUGCUUGUAAGCCUCAACAACAAGACUUGUCUGCAACACCCUCGGUCGAUCUUGAUAGAUCAGUUAGUGUCAAGUUUGUAGAGCCUUCUCCCUAAACAUACAAAGAAUCUGAGAGAAGCUGAGCCUAGUCCAAGACAAAAGAUGCUUUCAAUUACUGAUCAUAGUAAUAGUUUUAGCAGUGGGAUUGAACGCUUAUGGUGGCAAAAUUGGAAGCCCUCCAGAAGAGCAGCAAAAAAACGUGCUGAGCUUGUUAUUCUUUCUCCUUUUUAUCAUGUACAACAAUAAAACUGGAAGUAGAUGGUUAUCAAUCAUUUAAUUUAUUCACUUGAUAUUUAUGGUUUCUUCUCAAUUAUCUUUCUUCAGCUCCUUGAGAAAUAAUGAGAAAACUUAGUCUUAUAAA
Quercus lobata is the source of this 1811-nucleotide long non-coding RNA. RefSeq lists it as uncharacterized. NCBI's taxonomy places the organism in Eukaryota, Viridiplantae, Streptophyta, Magnoliopsida, Fagales, Fagaceae. The transcript is spliced from 4 exons. The record is from RefSeq and is a predicted model, not a curated record.